UUGUGGGAAAAUAUGGAAGUUCUAUUUUUAAUUUUUUGAGGAGCUUUCCUACUGUUUUCCAUAAUGGCUGUAAGAACUAGAAUUCUUUCUGUAAGAUCUCUUUUCUCUCCAGUAUCCACAGAUGGUUGACAUAUUAUCUCAUUGUCUCUUUUCCUCUCUCAUUUUUUCAUUGUUUCCUAAGCUUCAAGACUUUUUUCCAGAAUGCGCUCCUCAUAAACAUGUUAUCAUUUCUUCAGUGAUGACUUUGUAUGAUGUGAUUAAACUGCCAGAGUCGCAGAGAGAAGCAGGCCGGGACCCAGGAUAAUUAGUUCCUGCCUGAUUCCUCCCAGGCAGAGAGGGGAAAGUCAGCGUCCAGAGCAAGGCCUGCCCUUUGGACUCCCCUCUUCAUUCGUUCUUUAUUUCCAUGCUUCCUCCUCACCCAGACUCCCAGGUUCUUUUAGGUUCAGAGAAGGGCUCUGGGCCUCCCCUCAUUAGCUCUCAUCCCCCACCCUGAUCAUCCCAGGGCUGGACCUGGCCUUGAACUUGUCAAUUGGAUCCCCGAAGAUUUUCAAGAGAAGCACUUCUGUUUCUCAUAAUUUAAGAUCAAGUAUCUGGCCAUUGGCAGGUACAGGAAAGGGAAAAUCAUCUUUCUGCUUCUAAGAAAAGCCCCUACUGGAAUGGGGACAGAGGCCUAGGUGUCUCUUUACUACCCUCGCCUGGUGAGUAGUGGGGAUUUCUGGGAGGAGGAAGAUAAACUAAAAAUAUUAAUUCAGUUCACCCCCACCCAAAUGAUUUAAUGAUCAGGACCUUAACUCUUACAGGCCCUGAAAGUUCUCAGCUUUCCUGACCAAUGAGAAAUACGAAUGAGAUGACGCUAUCUUUGCCUGUAUUUCAAAUGUCCCCCUAAAAUGCCUUCAUUUUACAAGUGUGUGAAAAUCCCUGCCCUCUCCACCAUAAGGUAUUUAUACAAAGGGCGUGUUUAUCAUUAUUAUAAGAGGAAGGAAAUGCUUCCAAUUGUUAUCUGCCUUUCACAAUUAGAGGGAUGCUGAGGUUAAAAUUUUUCAUUUAGAUCCCAGACAAUUAAAACAAUCAUUUCUCCUUAGGUAAAGAGGUAAUUUGAUAAAUGUUACUAGUUUUUUAAAAUAGCAAUUGGGAUUAUUUGGAAAUUCCCUAAGUAGACAUCUUUAAUAAUUGUGUUAUUAAAAUAAAAAUAUUUUAGAACAAUUGAAACAUCAUUAAUGGAAUGUAAACGUUAUCACAAGAAUGACAUUUUCUUUCUCCUUCUGCACUUGAUAUUUACUCAUUUCUUACUAACUUUGGAAUUUACCUUUUUUCCCCCCACUUCCAACAAUGUGCUUGGUUUAUGCAAAUAUUGAAAGUAACCUUGAAGACAAACGUUGAAAGACGACAAUUUUCAUAUUCGUCUAAGGAAGAGUUUUCCUGAAAUGUAAAAGAAGUUAAAGAAGGUGAUUUUUCAAUAAUAGCCAAUUUGAGCAUGUAAGGAAAAAUUGUAUGACCUAAGAAAAGCUCGGAUUAAAUUGUUCAAUUUCAGAUUCAAAAAUACCAUUCCCUUCUGAGAAUACAUAUGACUGUACCCUGGAAAUUCUUUCAUUCUUCCCUUAAAACUGUAAAAUCUGCCAUGAAAACACUAUGGCUGCAUGCAAGGCAAUCUGGUCACUGGAGGAACCGUGUGGAUGUCGUCCACCUGCCACCCGUCAUAAUGUCUGUAAUUGCCUUCUGUGGGUGGCUCAGCCUAAACAGAAAAAAGGCUGUGUCCCUACCUGUACGGAUGCUGCACAGGUUACACGUGGAGAGAAAGGAAAUGUGGUAAAUAUCAACAACUUGACGUUGCUAGGAGGAUCCAUUCUGCUAUUUCUUCAACUUUCCUGUGUUUAAUGUUUUUCAAAAUAAAAAGUUAGGAAAAGAAAUAAAUGUCACGUGAACUUUAAGCACCUCAAAAUUGCUUAAUGUAACUGGAUUUACUGGACCUAUUUGACUGGUGUAGGUGGACAAUGGCUACUCAGUUUUAUGCAUUUAAAGUUGUCUAGGUUAACUAUUGUAUUCUAAUAUUUGAGAAAUUAUUUAUACGUAUGUGUCUUUCUGAUUCCUUUGUAUUAUUUCUUAAUGUGCUGGAAAUAAAAUCUAGCUUUUUAUUUAAAAAAUAAGAGGGUUCAACUACUGUAAUUUUCUUAAUUUUUCAAUAUGGAUCAAAUCAGGGCUAUGUUGUAGACACCAACUUUAUGCAACUCUGCUUUAAGAACUAGCAAAAUAUAGGACUUGCUCAUUGAUAAUUAUCAACAUAACAUUUCUUAAGUCUCCAUAAACUUCUAUGUGCAUAUGCUUAUGUUAUUGAAAUACUGAGAGUAGAAAAUACUUUGGUUUUUCUGCAAUCAGAUCACUGAUAGAGUGAAUUUUCUAUUUCCUUCCAUGAAGUUUUGAUGGGCUUCAUGCGAUGCCGUCCUUCCAAGCGUAACACUCCCUCCAAAGGCAGCAGGGCUAGGAAGCACAGUCAACACCCACUGACAACAUCAGCUGUGUAUUCAGAGUUGAAUAUCAAACAUUUAAGACUGUGAAGUAGAGGAAACCCUACAGAGCACAGGUUCAAGACCUGUUUCCCCAGUGUUCCCUGACUAAGCAAAGCCCUUGGCAUCGGCAGCAAGCUUGGAUUCCAGCAGCCCUUGAUCCUAUCUGGACCCUAUGAGCACUGUGUCACCGACUGUCUUACUUGAUGCAGUCUGGCCAGUUCACCCACUCCCUUUCUCUUUCAAGACACGACACUUAACCAGAGGCAAAAUGAUAUUCCACAGUCUGCUUUGAAGAACAGCACUUUGAAUGUGUUGAUUUUCCUGUGGACCCUGGCAUGUUUAAUAAUUGCAUGGUUCAUAUGUGGAUUUUCAGUGAGAAACAGUACAAAUUACUGUUGAAGGGCCCAGGUGUGGAAGGAGUCAAUAAGUAGAAUGGUCAAGAUUUAAAAGAAAACUUCCUGUAAAACUAUAUUGUAAAAGUGAGUCCACUCCCCUCCCCUCCUUUGCCUCUCCCAGCCAUCUGCGACGCUCUGUUAUUGGGGGUUCUGACUUUAUUGCGCACAGCUGCUUAGGGUGAUCAUUUAAGACAGAUUCCCAAGCCUCAUGACCCCCAAUUUCUGAUUCUGAUGGUCUGGGGUAGGGCCUGGGAAUUUGCCUCUGACAAGCAUCUCCAGGUAAUUCUAAGGCAGGUGGUCUGGACUGCUGAGAAACACCACUGUAAGGACCAGUUCCUCCUCACAUCGGGCCGUAUAAAUGACAUGGACCUAUAAGGACCCAACCUUUUCUCAUUCUAACUAUGAAUCCUCUGAAGAUGCUAUCAAGUGCAUAAUCCAUUUAGCUCACUUAUCUCAGUAGCCUUGCCACCAAGGAAAACAAGCUUUCAAGACAUGAUCUACAUUGAAAGUAGUUCAGAUUCAGUCAUCACUAGUGUAUUGAAAAAGAAAAAGAAGAAAAGCUCAACAGUAUGUUCAUCUUACUCAGAGGUUUCCAACACAUUUUAUUUUGCAGACCACUGGUUUGUAGCUUUUGAGGACCAACAUGUGUAUAAAUCCUAUAAAAUGUCCAGUUAAUUUCAGUUCUGUAGCAGCCUCUUAGGUACCACACACCGUACUAAUGGCUUGAGUUCCAGUUACCCACGUGAAAAGGCUGCCCUAUGGCUCCUGAAGGAGGGGAGGUCC
This is a long non-coding RNA of Equus caballus (horse), 3682 nucleotides long. RefSeq lists it as uncharacterized. Lineage: Eukaryota; Metazoa; Chordata; Mammalia; Perissodactyla; Equidae. The record is from RefSeq and is a predicted model, not a curated record.